This 239-nucleotide long non-coding RNA is filed under the name Elaeis guineensis (African oil palm). RNAcentral describes it as "long non-coding RNA (EGUI_LNC028688)". Lineage: Eukaryota; Viridiplantae; Streptophyta; Magnoliopsida; Arecales; Arecaceae. The record is from RNAcentral.
CCUUCUACUUGUGUUAGUUGAAUACUUGAUUAACAAGUUAUCUGGAUAGAUUUUAUAAGGGUUAUAUGACAAAUACAUUUCUAGCACCAAAGGAUAGUAUGAAAAAAAAAAAAAAAAAAGAAGUAGAUAUUUUAUUGUGGUCCCCUGCCAUCUAUUAUUUUAAGAGCAUUCUACAUGGUGAAUUGCUUCGAGGAGACCAAAAUGCCAAUUUUUAUUUAAGUUUAUUUCCUAACUAUUGU